Long non-coding RNA from Scophthalmus maximus (turbot), 2108 nucleotides. The record is from Ensembl. Lineage: Eukaryota; Metazoa; Chordata; Actinopteri; Pleuronectiformes; Scophthalmidae.
CUCCAAACCAGCGUCACAUUGUAGUAUUAGACUGGAAGAACAAGACCCAGCUUCGUUUACUGUAUUUGCGCGCUGCCUCUAUUUUAUAUGAAUAUUAAUAUGGAAAAAUUAUGGUUUUCUUCACUUAAAACUAACUUCACCGCGGUACAUGUGGUUGAGGUGCACGCAAAAAAAGCAUAGCUCACGGCAACAAACAAGUCCUCGCAACGGAGUAAACACCUGUUAAGGAAUGAAAAAACAUGAAUACCACAAUAACGACGGCUCAGUUUAAUCCAUUCAACCGCCAAGAAAGUCACAGACUAACAGAAAGGGAGGGGGCGGGGCUACACCUACCGGUAUUCGAGGACUUGGUUCCCUCUGGACGUGACUCCGCUCCUCUUUCUCUCAGAUAGAUCGAUGGACUUUAUUGAUCCCAAACUGGUUGAUUCCGGCGUUGCAGCAGCAGAGCAUCUUCGCCUCUGCGCCUUCAGUGUGAAGACCUGUGGAAUAUCAUAUACCCCCAAAAAUUGGCUGUGGCCAAGAGAGUGUCCAGAGAAAUGUCAGAAUGCCGACAGGUUGUUAUCAUCAGUGCCCUUAUCUUCCCCUUGCAGGAGCACCGGCACAACGAAAACAGCCUGCACAUCCCACCAGUCAAGGCUUCACGGCCUGCUGCAGCAGCCAUCAAACUCUAUCAGACUUGUUCCUCCUCAACCCGUCUGUCUCCUUGUACUGGUUUCACUUCUGUUGACAAAGCAUUACAGAGCCCCCAUGUCUUGUCUUGCCUAAUUGGCCAACGUGGACUAAUUUAGCAUCUAAUUACCGAGCUAGUUUUCAUGCUUGUGAAUUUUCAGGGUCGUGUUUUGCCUUUAGAUAACUUUCCUCCCUCUCUGAAGGCUGUGUAGUUGCUCACAUUUCAAUGAACCAUGUGAAUAAUUGUCUUUUGUAAUAGGUACGAAUAAAAGUGAAAAUACAAUAAUGGCCAUGACUUGGGAACAAGAAAUAAAUACACCCACCAGCAGCAACAUUGGGUUUACAGAAACAACUGAGGCGUUCAAAAAGGGAAGAGAAAAAAAUUCAAAUCUGUAAACGUGUGUGAGAUUGUCAGAAGUGAUGGAUGGUCACUGAAUUGUGGACACAAAUGUUCAGAGCUGAGGGUUUUAAAGCUGACGUAGGUACUGUAUGGGUAAAUAUUAAAGCAAUGUCACAUUACAGUUCAUUAAAAUUUUAACUUAGAUCAAGUUAUGAUCAAUUGUGGCAAGUGAUUAAAGAAAAGUCUCCGACUCGAUGAAGCUAACAGGGAUUUUGAUAAACAAAAAAGGAAAACGCCUCUGCCUGUUGUGCCUACGCUUUUUACACAUCCAUCCAUCUGUGCAAAUGCCAACAUACACGUAUCAUACACACCAUUUCGGAAGGAAAUUUUCUGUGACCUGAUUUGUGACAUUUGAACAUCUGUAGACUCUGAAUUUUAAAGCCUUUAAUUAGAGCUUAUCAGCCAAUUAAGAAAUGUAUAAUUACAAAAGAAAACCAAUUACAAAAUUGAAAAACAUUUCACAUUGAUAGCAUUUAUAGAAUGACACAUUCUGUUGAACAGACAGGAUUGUUCAUUAGGAGCUAUGUCCUCGUCUGAAGCUAUUAAUGCGCAACUUUUAAUUUCCGCACCUACAUGCAGUUGUAGUUUGGUGAAGAAUUAACACGAUUGGAGUUUGAUAAAACCCGUUGAUAUUUGUGUAAAAUCAGAACACAUGCCUCUUAGUUUUGGGCAAGCACCAAAUCUACAUCCAUAUCCUGCCUGUCCCACACAGUAUAUUCAACCGAGGUCUGUGUCUCCCAACAGCACCAGGGAGCAAAGAGUAAUGGAGCAAAUGCAUCAGCUCAUGAUGAGGAGGAAAAGAAGUGAGAUUUUAGCCAGAGCUCGAGCCUGACAUUUUGGACCAGCCCCAGUAUGUGCUUCACACACUUUGGCAUAUCGUUCAAGUUACAGAGCUGAGUAUCCAUUUUUCUGAAAAAACAUACAGUAUACCUGGUGAACCCAGAAGAUGGUUCAUCAACAUCCUUAUGGACCGUUCUAACCAUCUGGAUGAAUAAAACAAAUUUCAGCUUGUUACACAAUAAAAAAACAUUUCAUCUGU